UACGUAGGGGGCAAGCGUUGUCCGGAUUUACUGGGCGUAAAGCGCGUGUAGGUGGUUUGUUAAGUUGGGUGUUAAAUCUCUCGGCUCAACUGAGAGGUGUCGCUCAAAACUAGCAGACUGGAGGACGGUAGAGGAAGGUGGAAUUCCGGGUGUAGUGGUGAAAUGCGUAGAUAUCCGGAGGAACACCAGUGGCGAAGGCGGCCUUCUGGACCGCUCCUGACACUCAAACGCGAAAGCUAGGGGAGCAAACGGG
This 253-nucleotide ribosomal RNA is filed under the name uncultured bacterium. RNAcentral's name for it is "partial 16S ribosomal RNA". It matches the Rfam family "Bacterial small subunit ribosomal RNA", at positions 524 to 776 of the family's 1533-position model. The record is from RNAcentral.